UACGUAGGGUGCAAGCGUUAAUCGGAAUUACUGGGCGUAAAGCGUGCGCAGGCGGUGAUGUAAGACAGGUGUGAAAUCCCCGGGCUUAACCUGGGAACUGCAUUUGUGACUGCAUCGCUGGAGUGCGGCAGAGGGGGAUGGAAUUCCGCGUGUAGCAGUGAAAUGCGUAGAUAUGCGGAGGAACACCGAUGGCGAAGGCAAUCCCCUGGGCCUGCACUGACGCUCAUGCACGAAAGCGUGGGGAGCGAA
This 249-nucleotide ribosomal RNA is filed under the name uncultured bacterium. RNAcentral's name for it is "partial 16S ribosomal RNA". It matches the Rfam family "Bacterial small subunit ribosomal RNA", at positions 524 to 772 of the family's 1533-position model. The record is from RNAcentral.